RNAcentral lists this ribosomal RNA (120 nucleotides) under Bison bison bison. The record is from RNAcentral. Lineage: Eukaryota; Metazoa; Chordata; Mammalia; Artiodactyla; Bovidae.
GUCUAAGGCCGUAUCAGCCUGAAGGCGCCCGAUCUCGUCUGAUCUCGGAAGCUAAGCAGGGUCGGGCCUGGUUAGGAUCUUGGAUGGGAGACCACCUGGGAAUCCCGGGUGUUCGAGGCU